RNAcentral lists this long non-coding RNA (278 nucleotides) under Anser brachyrhynchus (Pink-footed goose). RNAcentral's name for it is "lncRNA (ENSABRG00000016251.1)". The record is from RNAcentral. Lineage: Eukaryota; Metazoa; Chordata; Aves; Anseriformes; Anatidae.
CCUGCUUGCAAUUUUAUCCCUAACCCCAUCCCCCAAGAAAAAAAAAGUAAAAGGGAGAGAAAGCAAAGAAUGUACUCUCAAUGUAACUGAGAUUUCAUAUGAAAGGCCAGAUUCAGCCCAGACAACCUGUGGCAACUGGUAUAUUUAAUUGUAUAUGGGAGGAGAUGGGAGCAACUGUUUUUUUGCAUCUGGAAGAGAGCUGCUGCAUUUGCCACUGAUGGAGCCUGGGAUAGGUUUGAGGCAGAGUCAGAGUUUCAGAUGUCCCUGCAUGAGUUAUG